Molecule: long non-coding RNA, 653 nt
Filed under: Fukomys damarensis (Damara mole-rat)
Lineage: Eukaryota; Metazoa; Chordata; Mammalia; Rodentia; Bathyergidae
Description: lncRNA (ENSFDAG00000029112.1)
Source: RNAcentral
CGCAAUCUCAUGCCGCUACCACCUAGGGAACCCAAACGCCAAUAGCCAGGGAGAGAAACUGCCAGCCUAUCACCCACCGGUAUCCUGUCGACCCCCAGCGCCAACAGGAGCCCUGACCCGAGAGGAGGGACUGCUACUCCUCCGUCAUUCCUCAGCCUGGACGUCCAGCUAGCACCGACACCCACCGUCCAAUGCUCAGGACACUACUCAGGGAGGAGAGCGGGGUGCCUAUUCCGUCCCCGACAUCCAGCGCUAACCAUCAUCGCUGGCCAGUCGCUGCCCACCAUAGCCAGGCCUCCAUGGGCAGGUCCCGGGAAACACACAUUCGACCCCACCUUCAAGAAAGGCGCUGCCCUCACCUUCGCUCGCACAGGCAAACCACCUGCAAGGGUCCAAUGAACACGAAGCCUCACCCUCCGGCAAACACUACCCUACACGGGGAGCCCAACGGGAAAUCCGUUCCAGCCCCUAAAUGUAGCUCUGACGCUAGGCGAUGGCCCCUCCCUCCCGAUUCUGUCAAGGCGGCAAGGCUCCGGUCCGAGGGAAAACCACGGCACAUCCGAGCUUCACAAAAGUCACUGCCCUCACCUUACCUCUCACGCCCAAAUUGUCUGCUGUGUGAAUUCCUGCCGUGUCGUGCUCCCCUGUCCUAA